Sapajus apella (tufted capuchin) is the source of this 4199-nucleotide long non-coding RNA. RefSeq lists it as uncharacterized. The record is from RefSeq and is a predicted model, not a curated record. The transcript has 3 exons. Lineage: Eukaryota; Metazoa; Chordata; Mammalia; Primates; Cebidae.
UGCAAGAUGAAUAAAGGGCGUUCUUGGCAGGAUUUAAAAACAGAGCGCCAUUGAGUUGAACGCCCGAGAGUAACCUCGAGUGCAGAUGGACCUGUUGCCCAGCCCGCCUAGUGCUGCUAAAUCCACCGGCUCAAGGCCUCACACGACCUGGGCUUUGCAAACUCCAGCCCGUUCUCCUUCCACCAAUCCCCGACGCUGGUCUCCAAGAAAGCCGACCGGAGCUUAGGAUGAAGACACUGGCGCUCAUGGAGAUGUCUGGCCCCUCCAUCUGCCCAUCAUUGAUCGAGUCUUGGAACGCAAACCCCAGACCCUGAAGGCAGCCCUCUUGGCCUGCUCCCAUCAAGCCUCCUAGAACCCUCUCUGAAAAGUCAGCAAGUCCAGCCGUGCCUUCUCAGACCUCUUCAAGGCAUCCACCCACCUGACGUCCUGAAAUGCCAUGCUUUCGGAUUCACUGACAAUGCAUAGUCCCCAGUCUGCUGCUGGACCACCCUCUUCCUGCCUCCUCCACUUGUUUCUUUUCCUCUGCCUCCUCCCCUCCAAAUGCUCUGGGCCCUUGGCUCACUCCGUGUUUUCUCCUUAGGGGAGAUGACUGCAUCUGGGAUGAUGUGGCUCAAGUGGACAUCCACAGCCCUUUCCCAGAGCCAGAGUACAUUUCCAGUCAGCUCUUGCACAUGCAAAACUGAGCCUCCUGCUAGCAGCUCAAAGACAAACAGCCUUCUCGGGGCAAGGGAGAGGUCGCACCAGAUGUGCUCUUGGACCUAUCCAGGUCUAACCCUCACUGUUUCCGGCCCCAAACUGACAUCAUUAUCAUCAUCCUUCCAAAAAUCAGCCCUCCCUUUUAACUCCUUCAUUUCUAUUCCUGGUACCACUGUUCCUCCUGUGACUUGGUCUCAGUAUUCCAGAAUGUCUUUUGCUGCUUCUCAUCUCCCCCCUCCCACCCUUGAAAAAACAUUGUCAUGUUCAGCAGAUUGUACACCCAAUGGUGUUUUCUUCUGCCUCCGUUGCCACCUGGGCUGGCAGAGGCUCCCUGACAGCCAGUGGUUGCACCCACUGCUACAGGGUCAUCUUACUGACACCAGAGCUCACUGCCCCCAAAUUUUCAUUGGUUCCUUGUGGCUUAGACACUCAGUAGGGAUGGGGGAGGAAGGAAAAUGCAGUGGAGAAGAGCCGUGGAAGCAGCGGCACCAUUUCUGCCCUUCCCUGCUGGCUCCUAAAGGCCCCUUGGGGAAAGAGCCCUGGAAUAGAAACCCAAAGACAUAAACUCUAGUCCUGGCUCUGCGGCCACCCACUUUUGAAAUCAGUUUCAUGUCCGGUCAAAUCAGAUGAUUAGAUUAGAUGCUAAGUUUCGGCUGGCUCCAACAUCAUAAAUAUGUGUGGAUGGCAUAUCUAUAGACAGGUGUGGGCAUCAUUUAACUUGCAUCAUACCAAUUUUAAAAGUGCUUUUUCUAUCAAUUAUUUCAAAUGAUUGUCACAACAGCCCUUUGAGGCAAGCAGGAUGUGUGUGUAUCGCUUUUUUACAAAUGGAGAAACUGAGCAUGGAACAGGUUAAAUGAGUAGCUGGAAGUAACCCUAGUUAGAGAACAGAGUAUACUUUGGAAUCAGACCUAAAAAGUCAAACUCCAAUGACUUAACUUUGCAGAGCUUCCAUUUCCCCAAUAUCACAUGAGGCUCAUCAAGUAGUGCCCACUUCUGUGUUGCCUCUUUUGGGUCACACCUCGUUUGGGCACCAGCAGUGAGAGUCAGCCACGCUGCAAAUCAAAGGCUGGGAGGUGGGGGCUGGAUGCUAGCUUGCUAACACCCUGAGAGGGUCUCUCAACCUGAGACCCUCAACCCAAGAGGGUCUCUCAACACUACCUCAAGCAAAUCAUGGCCUCCUAAUGCUGUGUCUCUCGGCAAACACUAAGGUGAGAGGAGGGGACCCAGAUACAGCAAAGGGGGAUUACAGCGGGAUCCCCCAGGAUCUUGACUCUGAGACCCUUUGGAGCUCUUUGACCCAGUAAGCCUCACCUCAAAUGCUCAAAUUUGCUUGUGGUGUUGGAUCAGGUCUUAUCAGGCAUAUUUGUCUUGGCUGUUAUCACUAAGGCACUGACCUCAGCUCUGAGAGUCCAGAUGUUUUCGGAGUCAAGUUGGCGUAUGGACAACUUUAAGAGGCUGGGGAGGGGCAGAGGAGGCACUACCAAGCAAGAGAGCCUGUGGCAGCCACAGGGGCAGCACUGAAGCAGAGGAGGAGUAUGGUUGAGGUGCUGGCCAGGCAGGAGCCCUCAGAAAUACACAGUCAGAGGCACAGACCAAGAGGCCACAAGGUAGGAGUGCUCUACCUUGGGGCAGAGAGCAGCCUGGUAACUCUCUGGCUUGACCUUAAGUCAAGGAAACUGAAGCCCAGAGAUUGGCUUAUCCAAAGUCACACAGUGGGAAAUCUGAGAGGUUUCCUAUUUCUAAGACUAGGAUGGUCUAAGCGUCUGGAUCCACCCUCUCACCGAAAACACGUAAAAAUCCUCAAUAAAAUAUAUAAAGCAUCACUGAAAUGCAGCAGUUAUGAAUUGCUUCAUCUGUGCAAAGGUUUAUCAGAUUUGGUUGACCUGUCCCUGUGCUAAUGAGCAGUAUCCCUCACCUUUGGGUCUUGCCCCCGGGGGCGAUGACACCGUACCCUAGCCCCACCACUUAAUGUCAUCUCCAUCUGAAGGCCGAGUGGAGCAGGGGCAACUAGAUGACAGCACACUAAGGUGCCGUUGUGAACUCACCAGCUCCCUCCUUCCCACCCGCCCCGCUGCAAACAGGGACAGCACAGGAGUCUGCAGUCUCUCCCCUGCCCGCUGUGCUUCUGUACCAGGCUGUUCUCUUCCAAAGUCCUGAUAUCUCCACAAGUUGCUCCUCAGCUUACUGUUAUCUCUGAGCCAUCUGAAGAAGCUGCAAGUUUACUCCAGGCGCUGAAUGAGAGGAUCUGGGAGGUCUGGUGCAGACUGUGUUUAGCCCUAAUGAGCAAAUCCCUCCUCUGAUUGUGCCAGCUUCCAGAACAGUGCUCCAAAACUGUGGUUAUUCUGGACACAUUGACUGAAUGGGGAGCUCUUCCCUUCCUGGUCCCUGUCUCAGUGGUCCAUGAAGCGAGCCUGGCAGCCGUAGAACAGCAACCUUCCUUUCCCUCCCCACCUCUCUCUUGUAACCUCCUGAUAAUCCUCCGGCUUCACUCAGCCUGCUGCAUUCAGCUUGGGGGACCUUAAAAUAUAGGUUGGGUCCUGUCAUUCCCCAGCUUAAAACUUUCCCAUUGUACUGAGGAUACUCCUGAUGCCUCGGGUCAAGGCUGCUUGCUGGUUUCGAAAAGUCAGGUUCUUUCCUGUUUCAUGGACCUUGCCCAGAUGGUUGCUUCUGCCUGAAAUGUCCCUCCUCUCCUCCAACUCAUAUCUGGCUCCAAAGUCUCAUCUAAGGUGAGUUUUCCCUAACCACUUUUUAUUUUAAUAAAACCGACCACUUUUUAUUUUCCGCCACUCUGUUUGUUCUCUUCAUACAUACGUUUGUUUGCUGAUGGAUUUAUUGUCUUUCUUCCCACUGGAAAGGCUGGAAACUUCCUGACUCCAGAACCUGGUCCACCUUGCUCACUGCUAUAUAGUCAGCCCCUUGCAGAGAGCCCAGACUGUAGUAGGCAUUUAAUAAUUAUUGGUUAUUUUUAUAACCUGUAGCAAACGUGCUGCAGGAAGGAUCGGGCUGGUGCCAACAUACAUGGGAAUGGUCAAGGAACUGGAAAACUGUCUCCCACUGGGCCUGCCACCCACACCCAAACCCCAGCACUGUUAUUAAGGAUCCACAUGGGCCAGUGACAAGAAGGGGCUGAGGUCAGAAAGGGUGCAGCCCAAUAUCUUCCAGGGUAUAGGCUCGAGGGACCCUGGAGGUCUUCAUAUUUUUUUUCUAAACCACAAAACCUGUUGGAAAUUAACUCUGAGGUUAAUUUCAAGUGUCUACCGCCUCCUUGGUAGACCUGCUCUAUAAGCAGGUAAGAAGGGUACUUCCUUCUCUGCCUGCCCUAGUGAAUAUGGCCCAAAGGCUGGACAGGGGGGAAAAGAAGGCUUAGUCACCACUUUUGCAAUGCCAGCAAUGCAAGCCACAGUGAUACUUUUCUAGUGUGUUUUUUAUUUUCAAGGAACUAGCAUGACUUCUAUACAAUUUCCACGAAAAAUGUCUUCUCCACCUGACUCUGCCAUGCUAAU